This 424-nucleotide ribosomal RNA is filed under the name uncultured Clostridium sp. RNAcentral describes it as "bacterial SSU rRNA". It matches the Rfam family "Bacterial small subunit ribosomal RNA", at positions 356 to 794 of the family's 1533-position model. The record is from RNAcentral. Lineage: Bacteria; Bacillati; Bacillota; Clostridia; Eubacteriales; Clostridiaceae.
UGGGGAUAUUGCGGCAAUGGGGGGAAACCCUGACGCAGCAAUGCCGCGUGAAGGAUGAAGGUCUUCGGAUUGUAAACUUCUUUUGUCAGGGACGAAAACUGACGGUACCUGACGAAUAAGCUCCGGCUAACUACGUGCCAGCAGCCGCGGUAAUACGUAGGGAGCAAGCGUUGUCCGGAUUUACUGGGUGUAAAGGGUGCGUAGGCGGCGAGGCAAGUCAGCUGUGAAAUCUGUGGGCUCAACCCACAAAUUGCAGUUGAAACUGUUUUGCUUGAGUGAAGUAGAGGUAGGCGGAAUUCCCGGUGUAGCGGUGAAAUGCGUAGAGAUCGGGAGGAACAUCAGUGGCGAAGGCGGCCUACUGGGCUUUAACUGACGCUGAGGCACGAAAGCAUGGGUAGCAAACAGGAUUAGAUACCCUGGUAGU